This 102-nucleotide non-coding RNA is filed under the name Neobacillus vireti. RNAcentral's name for it is "Bacillus vireti SAM-I sequence". It matches the Rfam family "SAM riboswitch aptamer (S box leader)". From Rfam's summary of the family: The SAM riboswitch is found upstream of a number of genes which code for proteins involved in methionine or cysteine biosynthesis in Gram-positive bacteria. The SAM riboswitch acts at the level of transcription termination control. Lineage: Bacteria; Bacillati; Bacillota; Bacilli; Caryophanales; Bacillaceae. The record is from RNAcentral. RNAcentral also lists the same sequence under 1 other name.
CUCUUAUCAAGAGAGGUGGAGGGACUGGCCCCGCGAUACCUCGGCAGCAGACUUUCGUUAGUACUGUGCCAAUUCCAGGAGCGAUUUGCUUGAAGAUAAGAA